RNAcentral lists this ribosomal RNA (1595 nucleotides) under Crocodylus suchus (West African crocodile). RNAcentral describes it as "16S ribosomal RNA". It matches the Rfam family "Bacterial large subunit ribosomal RNA". The record is from RNAcentral. Lineage: Eukaryota; Metazoa; Chordata; Crocodylia; Crocodylidae.
ACCCGCUCUAGCCCUCAAAAUCAGCCCCAAUAAAAUUAACUACACUAAACCAAAACAUUUUUAUUAUGCCUAAGUAUCGGUGAGAGAAAAGACAACAGGCGCAAUAGAGACAGUACCGCAAGGGAAAGAUGAAAUAAAAAUUUAACACAAAAGUACAGCACAGCAAAGAUUAACCCUUUUACCUUUUGCAUUAUGGUUUAGCCAAACAUAACCGUGGCAAAGAGCACUAAAGUCACCUACACCCGAAUCUGGGCGAGCUACUAGCCAGCAGAAGUAGUACAGCACCAACCCAUCUCUGUGGCAAAAGAGCGGGAAGACUGACUAGUAGAAGUGAAAAGCCUAACGAGCCCAGUGAUAGCUGGUUGCUUGGGAAUAGAAUAUAAGUUCUACUGAAAACCUUCUGAUUCACCACAAUAAAGGACAAAGAAAGUUUUCAAGAUAUUUAAUGGGGGUACAGCCCCAUUAACACAGGACUCAACCUCUACCUAAGGGUAAAACCAAUUCGCACCUUAAAUGUAGGCUUUAAAGCAGCCAGCACAACGAAAGCGUCAAAGCUCGCACCAAAAAAAUACCUACAACAAAAUUAAACCCUACAGCACAACCAAGCCUUUCUAAAACAUUAGAAGAGAUUAUGCUAAAAUUAGUAACAAGAACCUUGAUCUUCUCCUGGGCGCUAGCCUACACUACUCAUGACACACUAUUGGUAAUUAACACCCUACCCAUCUGCCACAAACAUAAGGGACACACACUGUUAACCCAACACAGGAGCGCAGCAGGAAAGGCUAAACCCUGCAAAAGGAACUCGGCAAACAAAGAUUCCGACUGUUUACCAAAAACACAGCCCCCAGCCUCCCAAGUAUUGGGGGUGAUGCCUGCCCAAUGACUUUAAGUUAAAUGGCCGCGGUAUCUACAACCGUGCGAAGGUAGCGUAAUCAUUUGUUCUUUAAAUAAGGACCAGUAUGAAAGGCUAAACGAGAAUCUAUCUGUCUCUUGCAGAAGGCCAGUGAAAUUGAUCCCCCUGUGCAAAAGCAGGGAUGUCAACAUUAGACGAGAAGACCCUGUGAAACUUUAAACCACUAAAUCACAAAAAAUUGUAAAAUAUCACCCCAAGCGGACUAACUACAAUUAACACACUGAUUUAGCGUUUUCGGUUGGGGCGACCCCAAAAUAAAAAAAACUUUCCAGGAAAACAGUAACAUGACACUUACUGACCAAGACCUACACCACAAAGUGCUUAAAUGUAAUCAGAUCCGGCACACGCCGAUUCAUGAACUAAGCUACUCCAGGGAUAACAGCGCAAUCCCCUUCAAGAGCCCAUAUCGACAAGGGGGUUUACGACCUCGAUGUUGGAUCAGGACAUCCUAAUGGUGUAACCGCUAUUAAUGGUUCGUUUGUUCAACGAUUAAAGUCCUACGUGAUCUGAGUUCAGACCGGAGCAAUCCAGGUCGGUUUCUAUCUAUGAAUGCGAACCUUUCUAGUACGAAAGGACCGAAAGAGCAGGGCCCAUGCCACUAAAGUAAGCCUUACCUAAAGAUUAAUGAAAACAACUAAAUUAACAACCAGGACAAUCACACCCCGCCUCAAUACAAGAGGAA